Molecule: long non-coding RNA, 1251 nt
Filed under: Oncorhynchus kisutch (coho salmon)
Lineage: Eukaryota; Metazoa; Chordata; Actinopteri; Salmoniformes; Salmonidae
Description: lncRNA (ENSOKIG00005012569.1)
Source: RNAcentral
UGACCCUUUGUGUUGGUGUUUCCUUCAUUUGGGCAGUUACCUGUAGAUGUGGCCUAUGCAGGAAUCAAACUCAUAAUAGGGAUAUUGCUGCAAACAACUGGUGUACCUGGCAUUGGUGUGUACAUUGACCUAUUGGAGAACACACACACACACACACAAACACACUUCACUGUUGGAAGGCGUAUGAAAAUCAGGGUCAUGACUGACUCAACAAAAAUGUCUAAAGGUGAAAAAUUCGAAUGGUUCUCUCUGCCUCUCGCACUUAUCCUCCACUCUUCUCCUCCACUCUUAUCCUCCACUCUUCUCCUUUUCACUUCUUUCUUUCUUUUCUUCUUCUCUCAUUCUUUUUUUGUGCCUGUCUUUGAAGUGAGGAAGUUUGCAGAAAACCUCUCAGAAGAAAAGCAGCAAACGCCAAAGAUGAAGAGAAGGCUUUAUGGAUAGAGAAACAGAGAAUGGGGAGAAAGGAGAGCGAGGAGUUUAGACUUCUGCACUGUUUCCUCUCUCUUCAGUCUGUCUGUCGUUUUUUUUGAAGCGCAUUGUCUCUCUUCUCUUCUUCUCUCCCCUGUUUUUCUCAAGCUGGUCAUCUCCAGAAUGAAUAGAAGGCUUGUACUUACAGUCCUGGCCCUGAAUGUUGUAACCAAUGAAAUCAAGGUAUCCACCUCCCAACCUCUCACACCAUCCAACUCCACUCCUGCUACCUUCAUUCCCCCUGCUCCCACCACUUCCUGUGUGUGUAAAGUCUCCACUUCCUGUUCCUCUCCGACCCAGCCCGAGUCUCCGCCACCUGCGCUGGGUGUUAUCAAGGUCAAAUGGGAAGAAAAGUCCUGUAAGGGGGACGUACACCUGUCUCUCCUCUCGUCCCAUUCCUUGCCAGUUUGCUUUAACAGUCUUACCCAUCGUAGUCUUCAUCGCGCAGGGCUGUGUAAGAGGAAGGGCUGCGAGGGCUCCCCAACAUGGACUAAGAUCAAUCCUAAAGCUUUGGGUUACCAGAUCAGUACGAAUGGAAGUGUUGCCAACAACCCCUGUACAACACUGGGGAUCCAAUGCGAAGUGUCAGACAAGAGGCAGAGUCGGUGGAUCGGACCUACACAGAGCCAAAGUGUCUCCUACCAUAGAGGGAAGGCUGGACUCCAACUUAACGACAACACAGACAAGAGACACUCCUACCCUGGAUUGGAGAGGCUGACGGUGAACACCAGCCGAGAGCCUUCGUCUAACAGAAACAGUGAUUACGACUCUUAUAACUUGUGA